Lactuca sativa (garden lettuce) is the source of this 2177-nucleotide long non-coding RNA. RefSeq lists it as uncharacterized. The record is from RefSeq and is a predicted model, not a curated record. NCBI's taxonomy places the organism in Eukaryota, Viridiplantae, Streptophyta, Magnoliopsida, Asterales, Asteraceae.
UAUUUUAUUUUAUUUAUUUAUUUUGUAUAUGUUACAACUGAACUUGUUUACCUCGUAAAAAACAACUAUGACAGAUUAUUACAGGUCUAGACAACCAAACAUACUUUUUGUGACUAAAACAUGAUUUUUCUUACCUAACAAGAAUUUUCUGGCAAUCUGGGUUCACACAGUGGCGGAGCCAGGGUCAACGUAAAAGGGUAUCCCGAACCAAUGGGUUCGGUUUCUUGGUUUUUCAGUUUACCAAACUCAGUUUCGGGUUUAAACCAAAACCCAUUCAAAGGUUUAACUUGUUGAGAAUUGAAAAUCUUGUGUUGUUUUUAUAACAGAUGUAUAGGGCCUAUGUUUCAUUUUAUGGCCAAUGUGGGAUAAUUUUAGAAUUAUAAGAAAUAAGAAAGAAGUUAAAUGGAUACAGGAUAGAAACUGAUAAACAAAAUAAUUAACAUAUGUCAAGCCCAAGAUUCGAACUUCCAACUUCCGGAAAAACACCAUGUCAUCAUAACCAACUUAACCAACUAGAGCUUUUGUUAUUUUUUCGCAAAACACAUUUAUAUGAAGGAAUGCAAAAUAAACAAAAUUUUUCGGAAAAAUUUAUACUACUAAAUUUUUUUUUAGGGGCAUCCCGGGAUACCCCGAGAUCCAAUGUAGAUCCGCCAGUGGGUUCACACACACAUGAACGCACACAUCGACCCAAAGAUGAAUAAAAUUGACAUGUGUGUGUUUUUAAGGGGGUGUUUGGAUAGGAAAAAAAUAGGCUGCUUAUUGUUUAUUGCUUAAUCCCACUGCAAUAAGCAAAUUUAAGUGUUUGGAUAGAAGUUUUUAAAAAUCAGCUUAUUGCGGUAAGAAUAAGCUAAAUAAGCUGAUUUUAAUAAGCAAGAGGGGAAUGCUUAUUACUUAUUGUUUAUUGAUCAUUUUACUCAUAUAAGCUGUUUUAUUUGCCAAACACUUCAAACGCUUAUUGCUUAUUGCUUAUUCCUACUGCAAUAAGCUAAUCCAAACAUAUUUUAAAAAAGUGUUUAUUCCCACCAAAAUAAACAAAUAAGCAAUAAGGUAAUAAACUAAAAACUAUUUAUCCAAACACCCCCCUAAAGUUCUAGAUUUUAAUUUCUUCUAAAAAUCAACCAAAAGAUUGGUUUCAUGUGUUCUUGGCCAGAUUUAUGCUAUGUGUGUUUAUCAUGGAAAGCUUCGAGUUCUUGACAAAGGUUUGUUCAUCGAUUUUUGAAAGACAAAAAUUUUAGGUUCUUGAAAAGGGUUUGUUCAUCAGGGUAGAUAAAAAAACAAAUAAAAACAUAUUUAAACAAUAAUAAGGCGUUCAUGGGUUUUGGAAUUUGUAACACUGUAGUUGAUCUUUGUUCACUUCGAUUUUAAUAUCAAAACCAACAAAAAUAUGAAGUUGAAGUUCUUGAAUCAUUUGAACAUGAACACACACAAAACCCAAAUGAAACACAUGUCAUGUAUCUCAUUAGUAGAAACUGUAGUUUCAACAACAGAAUAAUCCAUAGCUAAUCUGGCGACAAAUUAAAGAGGGAAUAACGACAUAAAUUACAUUUAUCGAAAACUAAUUAAGAGUAAGUGAGGGAAUAGCAGCUGAUGUGCGACAAAUUAAAGAGGGAUUAAUCUCUUCCUAAUCGAUUCUCGAAAAUAAAGCCCUAAUAUCGGUCGCUGGUUUUCGUUUCCCUCCUUAGCUUCUCAUUCCUCCUUAUUCCACACAAAAGUACCUCGUUCCCUCUCAAAUCGACAUACUCUUCUCUCUCCCAAAUUGAGGUCAUCAUCCCAAAAACGUUGUCAGUCGUCGACUACUCCCGUCCCCGAUCUAACCAACUCUACCAGUAACAUCAAGAGACUAGAACAAAAGGUUAGAUGCUCAACCCCUAACACCAGCGAUUCACUCGGGUUAUCGGUGAUCGUAUUCAUAGGGAAAUAAAUGAUGAGUUCAGGGCAGAAGUCGGAACUUGAAGAAAUUGAGGUCCAAAAAUAAGAAAUUGUCAAGACGUAUAACGACAUCCUAAAACUCACCCAAGGAAGUAUCCUACACAACUAAUUAGACUUUUGACACUUAAUUUUCGUGAUUUGGUUUCGAUACUUUGAAAUCGAUUUAGACAUGGACAUUUGAUUUUUGUGAUGUUUCGAUGAAUCUUUAUUUUGAUAGUUGAAUAUUAAUAUUUAGUUUAGUAGUUGAA